UAGGGAAUCUUCCACAAUGGACGCAAGUCCGAUGGAGCAACGCCGCGUGAGUGAAGAAGGCUUUCGGGUCGUAAAACUCUGUUAUUGAAGAAGAACGUGUGUGACAGUAACUGGUCAUGCAGUGACGGUAUUCAAUCAGAAAGUCACGGCUAACUACGUGCCAGCAGCCGCGGUAAUACGUAGGUGGCAAGCGUUGUCCGGAUUUAUUGGGCGUAAAGCGAGUGCAGGCGGUCUUUUAAGUCUGAUGUGAAAGCCUUCGGCUUAACCGAAGAAGGGCAUCGGAAACUGGGAGACUUGAGUGCAGAAGAGGAGAGUGGAACUCCAUGUGUAGCGGUG
This 336-nucleotide ribosomal RNA is filed under the name uncultured bacterium. RNAcentral describes it as "partial 16S ribosomal RNA". It matches the Rfam family "Bacterial small subunit ribosomal RNA", at positions 355 to 683 of the family's 1533-position model. The record is from RNAcentral.